GUGCAAUUAGAGAAGGGAUGAAUCCCCCCAUCUACCAGGAGGUAUUUGGUACCUGAGAAGAGUUGCCAUAGGAUGUACAGAUGGAUGAAAAACUGGCUGCUGUAAAUCAGGCAGGUCAUUUGUCAGCUUUGACGAGUUGUUAGAAGAACUAGGGGUAGAAGAUAUGUCAGUCGCUGGUACAGUUCUCCCCUUACCACCCUGCUGAGCUGGACACAGAAGAGGCUGCAGUCGUUAAAGAGCUCAGCCUUCUGCCCAGCACAGUAUGCAGGCCUCCUUGUGACUGAGUGGGACAUCUGAAGAGGACAUUGCUUCACUAGUGCCAACAACCAAGAGCUGGUUCUGCUCCACAUCCUCGGUGAACUUUCCGUGCUUCCCCCAGAGCCCCUCCUCAAGCCACCCACAUCUACAGUUCCAGGACAAAACAGAGAAAGAAAAAGGAGACGGACAG
Molecule: long non-coding RNA, 448 nt
Filed under: Fukomys damarensis (Damara mole-rat)
Lineage: Eukaryota; Metazoa; Chordata; Mammalia; Rodentia; Bathyergidae
Description: lncRNA (ENSFDAG00000026561.1)
Source: RNAcentral